This 545-nucleotide ribosomal RNA is filed under the name uncultured bacterium. RNAcentral's name for it is "bacterial SSU rRNA". It matches the Rfam family "Bacterial small subunit ribosomal RNA", at positions 1 to 524 of the family's 1533-position model. The record is from RNAcentral.
CUCGCGUGUCAGAGUUUGAUCAUGGCUCAGAGCGAACGCUGGCGGCGUGCCUAACACAUGCAAGUCGAACGUGAAAUGGAGCAAUCCAAAGUAAAGUGGCGUACGGGUGAGUAACGCGUAGGUAAUCUACCCUAGAGUCUGGAAUAACCGGCCGAAAGGCUGGCUAAUACUAGAUAGAGCGACGGAACUCGUAACGAGUUUUUCGGGAAAGGGAGCCCGCAAGGGCCUUCGCUUUGGGAUGAGCCUGCGUCUCAUUAGCUAGUUGGUAGGGUAAUGGCCUACCAAGGCAUUGAUGGGUAGCUGGUCUGAGAGGAUGAUCAGCCACACUGGAACUGAAACACGGUCCAGACUCCUACGGGAGGCAGCAGUGGGGAAUCUUGCGCAAUGGACGAAAGUCUGACGCAGCCACGCCGCGUGAGUGAAGAAGGCCUUCGGGUUGUAAAGCUCUGUCGGACGGGACGAACAUAUCUAGGGUUAACAGCCCUAGGUACUGACGGUACCGUCAAAGGAAGCACCGGCUAACUUCGUGCCAGCGCCGCGGUAAU